GUCUUCCUGAUUUGUUUAGGAGGUCUAACCUGCCCGGUGAAAUUUUUAACGGCCGCGGUAUUUUGACCGUGCAAAGGUAGCAUAAUCAUUAGUCUUUUAAUAGGGGGCUGGAAUGAAAGGUUUGACGAAGUGUUAACUGUCUCAUGUUUAAUAAUUAUAAUUUAACUUUUUAGUUAAAAGGCUUAAAUAUUGUUGGAAGACGAGAAGACCCUAUAGAGCUUUAAUUUUGAACGCAUAAUAGAUGUGUUGUUAAUUAUUAAUUUUUAUGUGUUUAAUUUUUUUGUUGGGGUGACAAAAGAUAUAUGAAAAACUUUUAUAUUUAUAUUACAUUUAUUUAUGUUUAAUAGAUCCAUUAUUAUUGAUUAUUAGAAUAAGUUACCUUAGGGAUAACAGCGUAAUCUUCUUUCGGAGUUCACAUUUACAAGAAGGCUUGCGACCUCGAUGUUGGAUUAAGAUAAUAGUUUGGGGCAGUUUCUUAACUAAUAGGUCUGUUCGACCUUUAAAUUCUUACAUGAUCUGAGUUCAGACCGG
Molecule: ribosomal RNA, 531 nt
Filed under: Tatocnemis malgassica
Lineage: Eukaryota; Metazoa; Arthropoda; Insecta; Odonata; Megapodagrionidae
Description: partial 16S ribosomal RNA
Rfam family: Archaeal large subunit ribosomal RNA
Source: RNAcentral